The sequence is a ribosomal RNA, 545 nucleotides long. It matches the Rfam family "Bacterial small subunit ribosomal RNA", at positions 18 to 546 of the family's 1533-position model.
CAUGGCUCAGGACGAACGCUGGCGGCGUGCCUAAUACAUGCAAGUCGAGCGGACAGAAGGGAGCUUGCUCCCGGAAGUCAGCGGCGGACGGGUGAGUAACACGUAGGUAACCUGCCCCUUAGACUGGGAUAACUCCGGGAAACCGGAGCUAAUACGGGAUAAUAAAGAGAAUCACCUGAUUCUCUUUUGAAAGACGGUUUCGGCUGUCACUAAGGGAUGGGCCUGCGGCGCAUUAGCUAGUUGGUAAGGUAACGGCUUACCAAGGCGACGAUGCGUAGCCGACCUGAGAGGGUGAUCGGCCACACUGGGACUGAGACACGGCCCAGACUCCUACGGGAGGCAGCAGUAGGGAAUCUUCCGCAAUGGACGAAAGUCUGACGGAGCAACGCCGCGUGAGUGAGGAAGGCCUUCGGGUCGUAAAGCUCUGUUGUGAGGGAAGAACAAGUACCGGCGUAACUACCGGUACCUUGACGGUACCUCACCAGAAAGCCACGGCUAACUACGUGCCAGCAGCCGCGGUAAUACGUAGGUGGCAAGCGUUGUCC